Molecule: small nuclear RNA, 163 nt
Organism: Myotis myotis
Lineage: Eukaryota; Metazoa; Chordata; Mammalia; Chiroptera; Vespertilionidae
Product: U1 spliceosomal RNA
Exons: 1
Source: RefSeq, a predicted model, not a curated record
AUACUUACCUGGCAGGGGAGAUACCAUGGUCAUGAAGGUGGUUUCCCAGGGCGGAGAUUACCUGUGGCACUCUGAGUGUGCGGAUGCCUGCAAUUCCCCCAAAUGUGGAGGACUCCAUUGCAGAAUUUGUGGUAGUGGGGGACUGUAUUCAUACUUUCUCUUA